GCUGAUAUAGUUUAGUGGUAAAACAGGUCCUUGGUAAGGAUCAGAGGACAGUUCAAUUCUGUCUUUCAGCACCA
Molecule: transfer RNA, 74 nt
Filed under: Bacilli bacterium
Lineage: Bacteria; Bacillati; Bacillota; Bacilli
Description: tRNA-Thr
Rfam family: tRNA
About the family: Transfer RNA (tRNA) molecules are approximately 80 nucleotides in length. Their secondary structure includes four short double-helical elements and three loops (D, anti-codon, and T loops). Further hydrogen bonds mediate the characteristic L-shaped molecular structure. tRNAs have two regions of fundamental functional importance: the anti-codon, which is responsible for specific mRNA codon recognition, and the 3' end, to which the tRNAs corresponding amino acid is attached (by aminoacyl-tRNA synthetases). tRNAs cope with the degeneracy of the genetic code in two manners: having more than one tRNA (with a specific anti-codon) for a particular amino acid; and 'wobble' base-pairing, i.e. permitting non-standard base-pairing at the 3rd anti-codon position.
Source: RNAcentral